Molecule: ribosomal RNA, 397 nt
Filed under: uncultured Helicobacter sp.
Lineage: Bacteria; Pseudomonadati; Campylobacterota; Epsilonproteobacteria; Campylobacterales; Helicobacteraceae
Description: bacterial SSU rRNA
Rfam family: Bacterial small subunit ribosomal RNA
Source: RNAcentral
UAGGGAAUAUUGCUCAAUGGGGGGAAACCCUGAAGCAGCAACGCCGCGUGGAGGAUGAAGGUUUUCGGAUUGUAAACUCCUUUUGUGAGAGAAGAUAAUGACGGUAUCUCACGAAUAAGCACCGGCUAACUCCGUGCCAGCAGCCGCGGUAAUACGGAGGGUGCAAGCGUUACUCGGAAUCACUGGGCGUAAAGAGUGCGCAGGCGGAUUAAUAAGUCAGAUGUGAAAUCCUAUGGCUUAACCAUAGAACUGCAUUUGAAACUAUUAGUCUAGAGUGUGGGAGAGGUAGGUGGAAUUCUUGGUGUAGGGGUAAAAUCCGUAGAUAUCAAGAGGAAUACUCAUUGCGAAGGCGACCUACUGGAACAUUACUGACGCUCAUGCACGAAAGCGUGGGGAG